UACAGAGGUCCCAAGCGUUGUUCGGAUUCACUGGGCGUAAAGGGUGCGUAGGCGGUCGGAUAAGUCUGAUGUGAAAUCUCACAGCUUUACUGUGAAACUGCAUUGGAUACUAUCCGGCUCGAGGAAUGGAGGGGAGACUGGAAUACUUGGUGUAGCAGUGAAAUGCGUAGAUAUCAAGUGGAACACCAGUGGCGAAGGCGAGUCUCUGGACAUUUCCUGACGCUGAGGCACGAAAGCCAGGGGAGCAAACGGG
Molecule: ribosomal RNA, 253 nt
Filed under: uncultured bacterium
Lineage: Bacteria
Description: partial 16S ribosomal RNA
Rfam family: Bacterial small subunit ribosomal RNA
Source: RNAcentral